Molecule: ribosomal RNA, 503 nt
Filed under: uncultured bacterium
Lineage: Bacteria
Description: partial 16S ribosomal RNA
Rfam family: Bacterial small subunit ribosomal RNA
Source: RNAcentral
GAUGAACGCUAGCGAUAGGCCUAACACAUGCAAGUCGAGGGGCAGCAUAGAGUAGCAAUACUUUGAUGGCGACCGGCGCACGGGUGAGUAACACGUAUGCAACCUACCUACAUCAGGGGAAUAACCCGGAGAAAUUCGGACUAAUACCGCAUAAUACAGGGAUGCCGCAUGGCAAUAUUUGUUAAAGAUUUAUCGGAUGUAGAUGGGCAUGCGUUCCAUUAGCUAGUUGGUAAGGUAACGGCUUACCAAGGCAACGAUGGAUAGGGGAACUGGGAGGUUUGUCCCCCACACUGGAACUGAGACACGGACCAGACUCCUACGGGAGGGAGCAGUGAGGAAUAUUGGUCAAUGGACGAGAGUCUGAACCAGCCAAAUCGCGUGAAGGAAGACUGCCCUACGGGUUGUAAACUUCUUUUGUACAGGAAUAAAAGACAUUACGUGUAAUGUAUUGCAUGUACUGUACGAAUAAGCAUCGGCUAACUCCGUGCCAGCCGCCGCAGUAA